Molecule: ribosomal RNA, 253 nt
Filed under: uncultured bacterium
Lineage: Bacteria
Description: partial 16S ribosomal RNA
Rfam family: Bacterial small subunit ribosomal RNA
Source: RNAcentral
UACGUAGGGGGCAAGCGUUGUCCGGAAUCAUUGGGCGUAAAGGGCGCGUAGGCGGUACUUCAAGUCAGGCGUGAAAGCCCCGGGCUCAACCUGGGAACCGCGCUUGAGACUGGAGAACUAGAGUUCGGGAGAGGAUGGUGGAAUUCCCAGUGUAGAGGUGAAAUUCGUAGAUAUUGGGAAGAACACCGAUGGCGAAGGCAGCCAUCUGGACCGACACUGACGCUGAGGCGCGAAAGCGUGGGGAGCAAACAGG